Lycium barbarum (goji berry) is the source of this 550-nucleotide long non-coding RNA. RefSeq lists it as uncharacterized. Lineage: Eukaryota; Viridiplantae; Streptophyta; Magnoliopsida; Solanales; Solanaceae. The record is from RefSeq and is a predicted model, not a curated record. The transcript has 2 exons.
UUUUUGCAAUUGUAUCCUACUUAUUCACUUGGAUCACACCUCAAUUUCUUUUAUUAUUUUAAUUAAUUUAUUACUAUAUUAGAAUAGUGAGUUAAAAGAGUGGGUGGUUGACGACCAAAUCCACUCUUCUAAUACAGUAAUAAAUAAUAAUAUAUGGACUAGCGGGCAAGGUGCUUAAAAAUGUGCAGGUGCAAAACUACAAAUAUGGCAAAAUAGAAGGGCUUGAAGCACAAACCCGUUCAACUAUAUAUAGACCUCAUAUCGGCUAGGGACUGAUAACAAGCGCCGUUACCCAGCCGACCCGACCCGAAUAUCCUCCUUCGCCGGAUUGUAGCUUUUUUUUUCUCCUCAACCCCAAGUGUUGGAGUUCCUGUGCGUGAGGGAAUUGACCGCCUCAUCUAUGUAAUCUAUUACUCUCUCUUUCAAACUGUUUUAGUUCCACGAGUAAGAUUUUUGAACAGCUUUAAAUUAAAGAUUGUAUCCCUCACUUUCAUAUUAUAAGUGGUGUUUUAGGUUUUUGAUUUUAUUUCAAGUAAUUCUUACUUUAGAA